Myxocyprinus asiaticus (Chinese sucker) is the source of this 2939-nucleotide RNA transcript. It is a transcript of the gene named muscle, skeletal receptor tyrosine protein kinase-like, with no coding region annotated. The transcript has 8 exons. NCBI's taxonomy places the organism in Eukaryota, Metazoa, Chordata, Actinopteri, Cypriniformes, Catostomidae. The record is from RefSeq and is a predicted model, not a curated record.
AUAAAAAAGAAGAAAAAAAAAAACUCUCUUAAUAUUUGUCCUGGUUCACGGCACACAAAAAAAUUCAUCAUAAUAUCUAAAAAAAGAAGAACAUUUAUUAUUCAUGAGCAAUCUUAAAGACUUAACUAAGUAUUCCACUUCAGCUAAGAACUCAGUGAGCCUGAGUAGCUUUACACCUCUGCUUAUGCAAAUACAACAGAGCCUGAUUAAAAGUACGUGACGUACCAAUGACGUCAGACACUGUUGGAUUUGCGUCUCGAGCUUUCAUAGAGGAUGAACAAUUGACGUUAUUUUCCGUAAAACUCGUUUAUUUUGUUGUAAUAAAAACUUAGUGGCAGAACGACGGCAACACGUGAGGUGAAGCCUCGAAAGUCAAAAAUUGUCAAGUGAUGGGAGUAUGGAGGCUGGUGUGGAUUCUGUGUUUCAUGAUCACUAUGAUCCCGGUUUCUCUUCAUGGAAGAAUAUCUGUAAACUUUAAAACUGGGCAGCCCCUCUAUGUGGCGCUGAGAAAAACCCUGGUUUUGGAGGCCGUAUUUCAGAAGAACCCAGAAGAUAAGAUAGACAUGGUGACGUGGGACCGCGAGAGAGGACAGGACAAUGUCAGAAUAUCAGGGACAGCCCAUGACCAAAGGAUAUCUUUGGAGAAGGAUGAUGCACUUCUGCGGAUCACAAAUAUUUCAGAACGCGAUUUUGGUGUCUAUAAGGUUACAGUCACAGACAGUAAUGGAGAACAACAGCAUGACUCAAUUGAAGUGCGCAUGAUGGAGGAACCUCCAAAGGCGUCCAUUGCACAUGUGUUAGAGUGUGUUGUGGAUACAAAUGACAUGGUGCAGUGGGAUACCCCUCAGUUCUCAUGGUUUGUGGAUGACGUUGCAGUAACCAGUCAAACCGCCCUGUUAGCAGAUGGCAGGAGACUCAACAUCGCAGAGAUCAAAGGAGAGAACUACACCUGCGUCAUCCACAGCAGUCUUGGAAAAGUGACAACACAUUUUGAAACAUCUAAAGAAACUCCUCCCAACUCUUUGCCCUGUUUUAAGGGACUGAUUGUGACUGGAGUUGCAUUAGCAGCACUUUUUGUAACUUGUGUAAUUAUGUUGAAGAGAAGCAGAAAUCAGCCUUUGUAGGUGCCUACAGAUGUGAGGGAGUUGGCUGGGCCUAAUUGAGUCCUCAUGUUACACUAAGAUUUUAUUUCAUUUUUAUUUAUUAUUUUAUUUUCACUUGUAAACCUGUAAACGUUAACAUUUUAUGAGAACGAGCAUAAGUUAUCUUGUUAAAAAAAUGUAUAUGUUUUGUGAAAGAAAAUAUUAUGUUGUCUACCUCAGUUGUUCUUCUGUCACCCGGAUCAUAUGCAGACACUGGUGUUCAAGUUUCUAAAGAGAAUAAAAGUUUAAAAACUAAACUAAUAUUGAGAGUGUGAUUCUCACCACAAUGGGUGGUGAUGGAGAGGGACAAUCAUUUAUGGUGCAACCUGGAAAUAUUAGGAAAUUUAAGGGUUAGCCCUAAAACAUUUAAUCAGCUAAAAUUGCACUUUGAGCAAUCUAAUAAAUGAUUUUCAUCCCUGUUUUUUUUAAUUGUUUGUUUUGGGGAUGUUUUAUGUAUUAUAAAAAUAGUAAUGAUAUUUACGUAAACAUUAAUUUUCCAUCUACACUAGUUUAAUACAAUCCUCUGGCAGAAGCAAAACCCAGGUGGCAGAUAUUAUAGAGGAAUUAACCCUUGGUUGUAUCACAAAAUAGAUUAGGAAAAGUCAUGAAGUAUUAACCUGGGCUCUGUUGCAACAAACGCCUUAAAGCUGGUGUGUGUUAAAAUGUUUACUUGUAUUCUAGUUUGAUAAGUAAGACAUUUCUAAUUCGAUUUCACUUAAAAAUGUAACACAUUGGAUCUGUGGCACUAUAAAAGCAUUCCUCUCAUCAUUCAAAAUCAUUCCUAGAGGUAUGAUCACUAGGGAUUUUCUUAACUUAAGGGGUUUGUUGCAACUGGCUGCUGCCUACAUUUUAAGGGGUGUUCACACAGGAUGUGUUCUUGCAUUCAAAGCAGCUAGACUGAAUGGAACCGAAAGCAGGGGUUUCCUGACAAGUUGAGCUCCUUUUAAAGCUAAAUGUGAUGCUCUAAUUGCCUAAGAAAAAUGGCAAGAUGUGUCACAAUAGUCAAAGACAUUUGUCUGGCACAUGUUUACAUAGAUACACAAGAAGGAAAAAAAAGAGCUUAUUUUGUGUGAAUGAACCCUAAGUAUGUUUUUUGAGCUAUUAAAAUGGCCUUUGUAUCUCAGAGUAGUUUGCUGCCUGUAAAAUGCCAACAAACACCAAAUUCCAACGUGUUAACUCUUUUGACUUGUGAAAUAACAGUUGUGUUCACCAACAUUAUGUUUGCUGAGGCAGAGUGAACCUUCAGACCCAAACAAAACAUUAUAUAUAUAUAUAUAUAUUAUCCCAUAAUCAUAAACAAAUGGAAAAGUCAUGGAAUUUCAUUGGUGAAAAGGUGUGGGAGGGUUUUAGCACAGAAAGAUCUGCUCAAGGACAGAGAGAAUGGUGGCUUUCCAGCAGAGGAAAUGGAAAGAGGAAAUUGGCCCACUUGAAAACAAGGUGACGCCUAAAGACUUCUCACUUUGUGAACCCGACGCACUGAGCAAAAAAGGGAACACAACUGGAGUACGUUUUCUGUUGGAGCUUUGGUCUAGUUUAAUUUAUUUUCUGGACAUAAGCGUCUUUUUAAGGAAGUUGUGAGUGUCUUGCAGCUUGUCUUCUUCAUGCAGGUGACAUGGAACUGCAAAUAGCGCAUUUUAUUCGGACUGUCCUACUUUUACAAAUCUGCUUGGCAGUAAAUCAUGUAUCAGUGAUGGUGAAUGUGUCUCACUGCAUUCUGCACUGUAUGGAGGCGUGGGGCACUGAGCCCACCUUCACCUGGCUGCACGAGCAAGCGGCUGUGACGGAGGAAGUGGGUCG